This 492-nucleotide ribosomal RNA is filed under the name uncultured bacterium. RNAcentral's name for it is "partial 16S ribosomal RNA". It matches the Rfam family "Bacterial small subunit ribosomal RNA", at positions 29 to 507 of the family's 1533-position model. The record is from RNAcentral.
AGUGAACGCUGGCGGUAGGCCUAACACAUGCAAGUCGAACGGCAGCACAGUAAGAGCUUGCUCUUACGGGUGGCGAGUGGCGGACGGGUGAGGAAUACAUCGGAAUCUACUUUUUCGUGGGGGAUAACGUAGGGAAACUUACGCUAAUACCGCAUACGACCUACGGGUGAAAGCAGGGGAUCUUCGGACCUUGCGCGAUUGAAUGAGCCGAUGUCGGAUUAGCUAGUUGGCGGGGUAAAGGCCCACCAAGGCGACGAUCCGUAGCUGGUCUGAGAGGAUGAUCAGCCACACUGGAACUGAGACACGGUCCAGACUCCUACGGGAGGCAGCAGUGGGGAAUAUUGGACAAUGGGCGCAAGCCUGAUCCAGCCAUACCGCGUGAGUGAAGAAGGCCUUCGGGUUGUAAAGCCCUUUUGUUAGGAAAGAAAAGCAGCAGGUUAAUACCCCGCUGUUCUGACGGUACCCAAAGAAUAAGCACCGGCUAACUUCGUG